UACCAUGGCCCUACGAGCGGUUCGGGUGGUUCCAAGCCAUCCGCCAAGAGGGAAACGGGUGAAAGUCCCGUACGGUCCCGCCACUGUAAUGAGGUAAGAACGGCUGCCGAAAGGCAACCACUGGAGUUUGCUCCGGGAAGGUGUCGUUACGUAUUCCUCCAAGUCAGGAGACCUGCCGCCCGUGAACCUGUCGA
Molecule: non-coding RNA, 194 nt
Filed under: Spirochaetota bacterium
Lineage: Bacteria; Pseudomonadati; Spirochaetota
Source: RNAcentral